Molecule: unclassified non-coding RNA, 130 nt
Filed under: uncultured fungus
Lineage: Eukaryota; Fungi
Description: sequence contains ITS1
Rfam family: 5.8S ribosomal RNA (bases 1-107)
About the family: 5.8S ribosomal RNA (5.8S rRNA) is a component of the large subunit of the eukaryotic ribosome.
Source: RNAcentral
GAAAUGCGAUACUUGGUGUGAAUUGCAGAAUCCCGUGAACCAUCGAGUCUUUGAACGCAAGUUGCGCCCGAAGCCAUUAGGCCGAGGGCACGCCUGCCUGGGUGUCACACAUCGAUGCUUCCAGGUUAGG